CCUACGGGAGGCAGCAGUGGGGAAUAUUGGACAAUGGGGGCAACCCUGAUCCAGCCAUGCCGCGUGUGUGAAGAAGGCCCUCGGGUUGUAAAGCACUUUCAGUGAGGAAGAACGCCUGGUGGUUAAUACCCAUCAGGAAAGACAUCACUCACAGAAGAAGCACCGGCUAACUCCGUGCCAGCAGCCGCGGUAAUACGGAGGGUGCGAGCGUUAAUCGGAGUUACUGGGCGUAAAGCGCGCGUAGGUGGCUUGAUAAGCCGGUUGUGAAAGCCCCGGGCUCAACCUGGGAACGGCAUCCGGAACUGUCAAGCUAGAGUGCAGGAGAGGAAGGUAGAAUUCCCGGUGUAGCGGUGAAAUGCGUAGAGAUCGGGAGGAAUACCAGUGGCGAAGGCGGCCUUCUGGACUGACACUGACACUGAGGUGCGAAAGCGUGGGUAGCAAACAGGAUUAGAUACCCUAGUAGUC
This 465-nucleotide ribosomal RNA is filed under the name Vreelandella stevensii. Its description in RNAcentral is "partial 16S ribosomal RNA". It matches the Rfam family "Bacterial small subunit ribosomal RNA", at positions 338 to 795 of the family's 1533-position model. Lineage: Bacteria; Pseudomonadati; Pseudomonadota; Gammaproteobacteria; Oceanospirillales; Halomonadaceae. The record is from RNAcentral.